CCUACGGGUGGCAGCAGUAGGGAAUUUUCGGCAAUGGGCGGAACCCUGACCGAGCAACGCCGCGUGAACGAAGAAGUUACUCGUAAUGUAAAGCUCUUUUUACAGGGAAGAAAGAGAAAUUUGACGGUACCUGAAGAAUAAGCCCCGGCUAACUACGUGCGAGCAGCCGCGGUAAUACGUAGGGAGCGAGCGUUAUCCGGAAUUAUUGGGCGUAAAGGGUGCGUAGAUGGCAUAGUAAGUCUUUUGUAAAAAUGCGGGGCUCAACCCAGUAGGGCAAAAGAUACUGAAAGGCUAGAGUAUGACAGAGGCAAGUGGAACUACAUGUGUAGCGGUAAAAUGCAUAAAUAUAUGUAAGAACGCCAGUGGCGAAGGCGGCAUGCUGGGUCGAUACUGACAUUGAGGCACGAAAGCGUGGGGAGCAAACAGGAUUAGAUACCCCUGUAGUC
RNAcentral lists this ribosomal RNA (446 nucleotides) under uncultured bacterium. RNAcentral describes it as "partial 16S ribosomal RNA". It matches the Rfam family "Bacterial small subunit ribosomal RNA", at positions 338 to 795 of the family's 1533-position model. The record is from RNAcentral.